GCAUUGCUGAAGAGUCUCGCAAUAGGACGAAACGACCGUCCAAUGC
Molecule: non-coding RNA, 46 nt
Organism: Schistosoma mansoni
Lineage: Eukaryota; Metazoa; Platyhelminthes; Trematoda; Strigeidida; Schistosomatidae
Source: Rfam